AAACCUGAGAAACCCAAAAGAUCGAAUGGGGAGAUUCAUCGUCAGCGAUGCUGGCACGUGUGCGGUUCGCGAUGCCGGAGACUUCGGUCUCGUGGCACGCGUCCGUAUGUUUUUUAUUGCCUGGUAUCGUCGGCGUGCACUUCUCCCCUAGUAGGACGUCGCGACCCGUUGGGUGUCGGUCUACGGGCCGGGUGGGCGCCUGUCUCGUGUGCGCUUUACGGCGUCACGCGAGACAGACCCCCGGUAUACCGACCGGCUGCCCGGCGGUACUCGCAAGGUAUCUGGCCGCAAAUAUUCGAACUGCGUCCGGCCCGUCGCAAGCGAGGCAAGUGUUUCCCGAAUGUACGGAUCUAAUGCCGUCAUCGGUCAUUGCCAGCUGUUGGUUGACGGUGCCCUAGGACUGGCUAUAAGAUACCGGUCAGCGACGCUACUGCUUUGGGUACUUUCAGGACCCGUCUUGAAACACGGACCAAGGAGUCUAACAUGUGCGCGAGUCAUUGGGAACUAUUAAGCCUAAAGGCGCAAUGAAAGUGAAGGUCGGCCUUGCGCCGACCGAGGGAGGAUGGGCCGCGUCACGAUGCGGUCCCGCACUCCCGGGGCGUCUCGUUCUCAU
Molecule: ribosomal RNA, 613 nt
Filed under: Cylloceria ussuriensis
Lineage: Eukaryota; Metazoa; Arthropoda; Insecta; Hymenoptera; Ichneumonidae
Description: eukaryotic LSU rRNA
Rfam family: Eukaryotic large subunit ribosomal RNA
Source: RNAcentral